Molecule: non-coding RNA, 311 nt
Organism: Vicia faba (fava bean)
Lineage: Eukaryota; Viridiplantae; Streptophyta; Magnoliopsida; Fabales; Fabaceae
Source: the annotation of a GenBank genome assembly
AUGCUUGGGAGGCAGCCUCUGCAUCUGCAUUUCCAUUCCCAGGGAGCUCAAAGCAAUCAAGUGAAUCCUUGCCAUCAGGACCAAUCCCUAGCGCCCAAGCAACGGCAGCUAAGAACCUUUAUUCGAGACCAUUAGUAGGUAGCACGUCGAGGUUCCAAGCCGAACCAAAGCAAUCUAUUUAUCCGAACCAACUAGCGAUCAAAUACCAGCCAAGGAUUCCACUCUCUCUCCACCUGAAUCGACGGUUUAAAUAUCUUAGUAAGAUAUAUCGGUUCAGCCAGCUAGCUGCAUGCCGUAUCGGGAAGCGCUGA